Molecule: ribosomal RNA, 142 nt
Filed under: Heterorhabditis indica
Lineage: Eukaryota; Metazoa; Nematoda; Chromadorea; Rhabditida; Heterorhabditidae
Description: partial 18S ribosomal RNA
Rfam family: Eukaryotic small subunit ribosomal RNA
Source: RNAcentral
GAGCUGUUUCGAGAAGAGUGGGGACUGCUAUAUCGGGGCUUUCGGGCUCUGGUAUGAUGGAAACCAUUUUAAUCGCAAUGGCUUGAACCGGGCAAAAGUCGUAACAAGGUAUCUGUAGGUGAACCUGCAGAUGGAUCAUCGU